This 433-nucleotide ribosomal RNA is filed under the name uncultured bacterium. RNAcentral describes it as "partial 16S ribosomal RNA". It matches the Rfam family "Bacterial small subunit ribosomal RNA", at positions 29 to 507 of the family's 1533-position model. The record is from RNAcentral.
AACGAACGCUGGCGGCAUGCCUAACACAUGCCAGUCGAACGAGACCUUCGGGUCUAGUGGCGCACGGGUGCGUAACGCGUGGGAACCUGCCUUUAGGUUCGGAAUAACUCAGAGAAAUUUGAGCUAAUACCGGAUGAUGUCUUCGGACCAAAGAUUUAUCGCCUUUAGAUGGGCCCGCGUUGGAUUAGCUAGUUGGUGGGGUAAAGGCCUACCAAGGCGACGAUCCAUAGCUGGUCUGAGAGGAUGAUCAGCCACACUGGGACUGAGACACGGCCCAGACUCCUACGGGAGGCGGCAGUGGGGAAUAUUGGACAAUGGGCGAAAGCCUGAUCCAGCAAUGCCGCGUGAGUGAUGAAGGCCUUAGGGUUGUAAAGCUCUUUUACCCGAGAUGAUAAUGACAGUAUCGGGAGAAUAAGCUCCGGCUAACUCCGUG